This 253-nucleotide ribosomal RNA is filed under the name uncultured bacterium. RNAcentral's name for it is "partial 16S ribosomal RNA". It matches the Rfam family "Bacterial small subunit ribosomal RNA", at positions 524 to 776 of the family's 1533-position model. The record is from RNAcentral.
UACGGAGGGUGCAAGCGUUGUCCGGAUUUAUUGGGUUUAAAGGGUGCGUAGGUGGUUUUCUAAGUCUGGUUUGAAAGCUGGUCGCUUAACGAUCAGAUGUGGCUGGAAACUGGAGGACUUGAAUGCGUUGGCGGUAGCCGGAAUGGGUCAUGUAGCGGUGAAAUGCAUAGAUAUGACCCGGAACACCGAUUGCGAAGGCAGGCUACUACGACGUGAUUGACACUGAGGCACGAGAGCAUGGGUAGCGAACAGG